CCUACGGGUGGCAGCAGUGAGGAAUAUUGGUCAAUGGACGCGAGUCUGAACCAGCCAAGUAGCGUGAAGGAUGACUGCCCUAUGGGUUGUAAACUUCUUUUAUAAAGGAAUAAAGCGAGGCACGUGUGCCUUUUUGCAUGUACUUUAUGAAUAAGGAUCGGCUAACUCCGUGCCAGCAGCCGCGGUAAUACGGAGGAUCCGAGCGUUAUCCGGAUUUAUUGGGUUUAAAGGGAGCGUAGGUGGGUUGUUAAGUCAGUUGUGAAAGUUUGCGGCUCAACCGUAAAAUUGCAAUUGAUACUGGCAGCCUGGAGUACAGUUGAGGUAGGCGGAAUUCGUGGUGUAGCGGUGAAAUGCUUAGAUAUCACGAAGAACUCCGAUUGCGAAGGCAGCCUACUAGACUGCAACUGACAUUGAUGCUCGAAAGUGUGGGUAUCAAACAGGAUUAGAUACCCCUGUAGUC
This 460-nucleotide ribosomal RNA is filed under the name uncultured bacterium. RNAcentral's name for it is "partial 16S ribosomal RNA". It matches the Rfam family "Bacterial small subunit ribosomal RNA", at positions 338 to 795 of the family's 1533-position model. The record is from RNAcentral.